This 467-nucleotide ribosomal RNA is filed under the name uncultured bacterium. Its description in RNAcentral is "partial 16S ribosomal RNA". It matches the Rfam family "Bacterial small subunit ribosomal RNA", at positions 28 to 506 of the family's 1533-position model. The record is from RNAcentral.
GACGAACGCUGGCGGCGUGCUUAACACAUGCAAGUCGAACGGAAAGGCCCUGCUUUUGUGGGGUGCUCGAGUGGCGAACGGGUGAGUAACACGUGAGUAACCUGCCCUUGACUUUGGGAUAACUUCAGGAAACUGGGGCUAAUACCGGAUAGGAGCUCCUGCUGCAUGGUGGGGGUUGGAAAGUUUCGGCGGUUGGGGAUGGACUCGCGGCUUAUCAGCUUGUUGGUGGGGUAGUGGCUUACCAAGGCUUUGACGGGUAGCCGGCCUGAGAGGGUGACCGGCCACAUGGGGACUGAGAUACGGCCCAGACUCCUACGGGAGGCAGCAGUGGGGAAUAUUGCACAAUGGGCGGAAGCCGGAUGCAGCAACGCCGCGUGCGGGAUGACGGCCUUCGGGUUGUAAACCGCUUUCGCCUGUGACGAAGCGUGAGUGACGGGAAUGGGUAAAGAAGCACCGGCUAACUACGU